GGGGAAGUAGCUCAGUGGUAGAGCGCUUGCCUCGCAUGCAUGAGGCCCUGGGUUUGAUUCCUUAGCACCCCA
This 72-nucleotide transfer RNA is filed under the name Dipodomys ordii (Ord's kangaroo rat). It matches the Rfam family "tRNA". From Rfam's summary of the family: Transfer RNA (tRNA) molecules are approximately 80 nucleotides in length. Their secondary structure includes four short double-helical elements and three loops (D, anti-codon, and T loops). Further hydrogen bonds mediate the characteristic L-shaped molecular structure. tRNAs have two regions of fundamental functional importance: the anti-codon, which is responsible for specific mRNA codon recognition, and the 3' end, to which the tRNAs corresponding amino acid is attached (by aminoacyl-tRNA synthetases). tRNAs cope with the degeneracy of the genetic code in two manners: having more than one tRNA (with a specific anti-codon) for a particular amino acid; and 'wobble' base-pairing, i.e. permitting non-standard base-pairing at the 3rd anti-codon position. The record is from Rfam by way of RNAcentral. Lineage: Eukaryota; Metazoa; Chordata; Mammalia; Rodentia; Heteromyidae.